Molecule: small RNA, 95 nt
Filed under: Mytilus galloprovincialis (Mediterranean mussel)
Lineage: Eukaryota; Metazoa; Mollusca; Bivalvia; Mytilida; Mytilidae
Source: RNAcentral
UGUAGUCCCAUGGGAUAUUUGUUGUCCCAUGGGACAAAAAAAAUCCCAUGGGAUUAUUAUCCCAUGGGAUUUUUAAUAUCCCAUGGGACAAAAUA